RNAcentral lists this ribosomal RNA (829 nucleotides) under Salmonella enterica. RNAcentral's name for it is "partial 23S ribosomal RNA". It matches the Rfam family "Bacterial large subunit ribosomal RNA", at positions 359 to 1190 of the family's 2925-position model. Lineage: Bacteria; Pseudomonadati; Pseudomonadota; Gammaproteobacteria; Enterobacterales; Enterobacteriaceae. The record is from RNAcentral.
ACAGGGUGACAGCCCCGUACACAAAAGCGCAUGUGCUGUGAGCUCGAUGAGUAGGGCGGGACACGUGGUAUCCUGUCUGAAUAUGGGGGGACCAUCCUCCAAGGCUAAAUACUCCUGACUGACCGAUAGUGAACCAGUACCGUGAGGGAAAGGCGAAAAGAACCCCGGCGAGGGGAGUGAAAAAGAACCUGAAACCGUGUACGUACAAGCAGUGGGAGCACAGGUUUACCUGUGUGACUGCGUACCUUUUGUAUAAUGGGUCAGCGACUUAUAUUCUGUAGCAAGGUUAACCGUAUAGGGGAGCCGAAGGGAAACCGAGUCUUAACCGGGCGUUAAGUUGCAGGGUAUAGACCCGAAACCCGGUGAUCUAGCCAUGGGCAGGUUGAAGGUUGGGUAACACUAACUGGAGGACCGAACCGACUAAUGUUGAAAAAUUAGCGGAUGACCUGUGGCUGGGGGUGAAAGGCCAAUCAAACCGGGAGAUAGCUGGUUCUCCCCGAAAGCUAUUUAGGUAGCGCCUCGUGAAUUCAUCUCCGGGGGUAGAGCACUGUUUCGGCUAGGGGGCCAUCCCGGCUUACCAACCCGAUGCAAACUGCGAAUACCGGAGAAUGUUAUCACGGGAGACACACGGCGGGUGCUAACGUCCGUCGUGAAGAGGGAAACAACCCAGACCGCCAGCUAAGGUCCCAAAGUCAUGGUUAAGUGGGAAACGAUGUGGGAAGGCCCAGACAGCCAGGAUGUUGGCUUAGAAGCAGCCAUCAUUUAAAGAAAGCGUAAUAGCUCACUGGUCGAGUCGGCCUGCGCGGAAGAUGUAACGGGGCUAAACCAU